CCUACGGGAGGCAGCAGUGGGGAAUAUUGGGCAAUGGAGGAAACUCUGACCCAGCAAUGCCGCGUGAAUGAAGAAGGUCUUCGGAUUGUAAAGUUCUUUAGUCAGGGAAGAAUAACAUGACAGUACCUGAAGAAUAAGCUCAGGCUAACUACGUGCCAGCGGCCGCGGUAAUACGUAAGGAGCAAGCGUUGGUCGGAAUGGCUGGGCUUAAAGGGUGCCUAGGCGGUUAUAAAAGUUAGAAGUGAAAUACACAGGGCUUAACUCGGGUGCUGCUUAUAAAACUGUAAGACUUGAGUGCAGUUGAGGUUAGUGGAAUUCGUAGUGUAGCGGUGGAAUGCGUAGAUAUUAGGAGGAACACCAGAGGCGAAGGCGGCUAACUGGACUGUAACUGACGCUGAGGCACGAAAGUGUGGGGAGCAAACAGGAUUAGAUACCCUUGUAGUC
RNAcentral lists this ribosomal RNA (444 nucleotides) under uncultured bacterium. Its description in RNAcentral is "partial 16S ribosomal RNA". It matches the Rfam family "Bacterial small subunit ribosomal RNA", at positions 338 to 795 of the family's 1533-position model. The record is from RNAcentral.